GGGCUCACACAAGCGGUGGAUGAUGUGGCUCAAUUCGAGGCUACGCGAAGAACCUUAUCCUAGUCUUGACAUGCACGGAUUAACUCUGGGAAACCAGAGCCAGGCCUUCGGGUACAACGUGCACAGGUGCUGCAUGGCUGUCGUCAGCUCGUGUCGUGAGAUGUCGGGUUAAGUCCCUUAACGAGCGAAACCCUUGUCGCUAGUUGCCAGCGAGUAAUGUCGGGGACUCUAGCGAGACUGCCGGUGUUAAACCGGAGGAAGGCGGGGAUGACGUCAAGUCCUCAUGGCCUUUAUGACUAGGGCUGCACACGUCAUACAAUGGCACAUACAAAGCGAUGCAAACUCGUGAGAGCAAGCAAAUCGCAAAAAAUGUAGCCCCAGUUCGGAUUGCAGGCUGCAACUCGCCUGCAUGAAGCCGGAAUCGCUAGUAAUCGCGGGUCAGCAUACCGCGGUGAAU
Molecule: ribosomal RNA, 457 nt
Filed under: uncultured bacterium
Lineage: Bacteria
Description: bacterial SSU rRNA
Rfam family: Bacterial small subunit ribosomal RNA
Source: RNAcentral